GGUUAAGCGACUAAGCGUACACGGUGGAUGCCCUGGCAGUCAGAGGCGAUGAAGGACGUGCUAAUCUGCGAUAAGCGUCGGUAAGGUGAUAUGAACCGUUAUAACCGGCGAUUUCCGAAUGGGGAAACCCAGUGUGAUUCGUCACACUAUCAUUAACUGAAUCCAUAGGUUAAUGAGGCGAACCGGGGGAACUGAAACAUCUAAGUACCCCGAGGAAAAGAAAUCAACCGAGAUUCCCCCAGUAGCGGCGAGCGAACGGGGAGCAGCCCAGAGCCUGAAUCAGUGUGUGUGUUAGUGGAAGCGUCUGGAAAGGCGCGCGAUACAGGGUGACAGCCCCGUACACAAAAAU
This 349-nucleotide ribosomal RNA is filed under the name Escherichia coli. RNAcentral describes it as "partial 23S ribosomal RNA". It matches the Rfam family "Bacterial large subunit ribosomal RNA", at positions 1 to 386 of the family's 2925-position model. Lineage: Bacteria; Pseudomonadati; Pseudomonadota; Gammaproteobacteria; Enterobacterales; Enterobacteriaceae. The record is from RNAcentral. RNAcentral also lists the same sequence under 1 other name.